GCCUGGGUGGCUCAGUCAGUUGGGCAUCUGACUUCGGCUCAGGUCAUGAUCUCACAGUUUGUGGGUUCGAGCCCUGCAUCAGGCU
This 85-nucleotide transfer RNA is filed under the name Felis catus (domestic cat). It matches the Rfam family "tRNA". From Rfam's summary of the family: Transfer RNA (tRNA) molecules are approximately 80 nucleotides in length. The record is from Rfam by way of RNAcentral. RNAcentral also lists the same sequence under 4 other names. Lineage: Eukaryota; Metazoa; Chordata; Mammalia; Carnivora; Felidae.